Molecule: ribosomal RNA, 361 nt
Filed under: uncultured bacterium
Lineage: Bacteria
Description: bacterial SSU rRNA
Rfam family: Bacterial small subunit ribosomal RNA
Source: RNAcentral
AGAGUUUGAUCCUGGCUCAGGAUGAACGCUAGCUACAGGCUUAACACAUGCAAGUCGAGGGGAAACGACAUCGAAAGCUUGCUUUUGAUGGGCGUCGACCGGCGUACGGGUGAGUAACGCGUAUCCAACCUGCCCACCACUUGGGGAUAACCUUGCGAAAGUAAGACUAAUACCCAAUGAUAUCUCUAGAAGACAUCUGAAAGAGAUUAAAGAUUUAUCGGUGAUGGAUGGGGAUGCGUCUGAUUAGCUUGUUGGCGGGGUAACGGGCCCACCCAAGGCAACGAUCAGUAGGGGUUCGUGAGAGGGAGGGUCCCCCACCAUUGGAACUGAGACACGGUCCAAACUCCUACGGGAGGCAGCA